This 82-nucleotide transfer RNA is filed under the name Lachancea kluyveri NRRL Y-12651. RNAcentral describes it as "tRNA-Leu (CAA) (tRNA-Leu-CAA-1 1 to 11)". It matches the Rfam family "tRNA". Rfam says of the family: Transfer RNA (tRNA) molecules are approximately 80 nucleotides in length. Their secondary structure includes four short double-helical elements and three loops (D, anti-codon, and T loops). Lineage: Eukaryota; Fungi; Ascomycota; Saccharomycetes; Saccharomycetales; Saccharomycetaceae. The record is from RNAcentral.
GGUUGUUUGGCCGAGCGGUCUAAGGCGUCCGAUUCAAGCUCGGAUAUCGUAAGAUGCAAGAGUUCGAAUCUCUUAGCAACCA